UACUAGCGGUCCGAGUCGCAGCCAUUUUUAUUGGGUCUAAAACAUCCGUAGCUUGCUUAGUAAGUUUCUUGUGAAAUUCUGUUCCUCAAGUUCAGAGCGCGCAAGAAAUACUGCUGAGCUAGAGACUGGAAGACGUAAGAAGUAUGUUCAAAGUAGCGGUAAAAUGUGUUAAUCUUGAACAGACUCACAACAGCGAAGGCAUCUUACGAGGACAGUUCUGACAGUAAGGGAUGAAGGCUAGGGGCGCAAAACGGAUUAGAUACCCCCGUA
Molecule: ribosomal RNA, 270 nt
Filed under: uncultured prokaryote
Description: partial 16S ribosomal RNA
Rfam family: Archaeal small subunit ribosomal RNA
Source: RNAcentral